Molecule: ribosomal RNA, 443 nt
Filed under: uncultured prokaryote
Description: bacterial SSU rRNA
Rfam family: Bacterial small subunit ribosomal RNA
Source: RNAcentral
UAGGGAAUAUUGGUCAAUGGGCGAGAGCCUGAACCAGCCAUGCCGCGUGCAGGAUGACGGCCUUCUGGGUUGUAAACUGCUUUUAUAUGGGAAGAAAAAGGUCUUGCGAGACCAAUUGCCGGUACCAUAUGAAUAAGCACCGGCUAACUCCGUGCCAGCAGCCGCGGUAAUACGGAGGGUGCAAGCGUUGUCCGGAUUUAUUGGGUUUAAAGGGUACGUAGGCGGAUUUUUAAGUCCGUGGUGAAAGCCUACAGCUUAACUGUAGAACUGCCAUGGAUACUGGAAAUCUUGAAUUCAGUUGAGGUAAGCGGAAUUUAUGAUGUAGCGGUGAAAUGCAUAGAUAUCAUAAAGAACACCUAUUGCGAAGGCAGCUUGCUGGACUUGAAUUGACGCUAAGGUACGAAAGCGUGGGGAGCGAACAGGAUUAGAUACCCCCGUAGUCC